This 406-nucleotide long non-coding RNA is filed under the name Rattus norvegicus (Norway rat). RNAcentral describes it as "long non-coding RNA NONRATT026312". Lineage: Eukaryota; Metazoa; Chordata; Mammalia; Rodentia; Muridae. The record is from RNAcentral.
GUGAAGCGCAACAGCACGGUGGACUGCAACGGCGUGGUGUCACUCAUCGGGCCCGGCUCACACAUCGGGCGGCUCCUGCCUGAGGUGAAAAUAGAUAAGGCAGCUACGGACAGCGUAAGGAAGGACACGGUGGGCCGGGCUAGGCAUGGCAGCCUCCCCUCCUGCAGCCUCCUGCCUGCCUUCCCGGCCUCGUGGUCUGCCUUCCUUUCUCUCCACCGUCCCUCCUUGGUUUUUCCUUACUUGCCCUCAGUCUUCCCUGACUCCUUUCUGUAGUCUCUGCUUCAUCUCCUCCUGCCUUUCUCGGCUACUCUUUCCCUCCAUUUGAGCAAAUCAGGCCGCCCUCCGCCCCUCCCAUACACACACGCUUUGAUUGACUGCAGGAGGAAAUGAAAAAAAAAAAAAAAAA